This is a long non-coding RNA of Aethalodelphis obliquidens (Pacific white-sided dolphin), 2133 nucleotides long. RefSeq lists it as uncharacterized. Lineage: Eukaryota; Metazoa; Chordata; Mammalia; Artiodactyla; Delphinidae. The record is from RefSeq and is a predicted model, not a curated record. The transcript is spliced from 3 exons.
UCAAUUAUAGCAAUUACCUUAGUCUAGCUGUUUCUUCCCUCUCUCUACACCAACCCCAAUUACAAGUUUUUGAUUUCACACAUUUUGAAGAGUCUUAUGUAAGUGUCUUUAUUAUAACAAUCUCAGUAUUUCUUAAAAACAGAUCUUAAUUUCUAAAUAUUGUAUAUAUGAAGCUUUAAAUUUAACUGCCAUAUACUCUUCCUUUAUAGAUUUUAAAAGCUCUCAAUGUCCAGAUACACUUUUAAAAAGCAAAGGAUGAAAGAAGGAAGAAAGAAGGAAGGAAAGGAAGACCUUCCCACUAAACUAAUCUUUGGGAUCAUAAGUUCUGAUCUCUACUCUAAGGAAAUAAUGAAAGAAGUAUUCAGAUGAUAUAUGAGAUGCAAAGACUAAGGCUACUGGAACUUUUCUCUUGAACUUCAUUGCUUCAAUGGACACGAUACACUGUUCAGGUGGCUGUGUCAGAAGACCUUGGCAAUGGGAGAACUAGUUAUCACUUCCUACUCCAUUUCCUCUUAUGACAAAACAGGCUGGAGUCAACUCUAGCCCUUUACUACAUUAGGUAUGAAUACAGUUACUGUAUUUUUUUCUAGUCUAUUAUUAACUUUUUACAUUAACAUGGUACAUUUGUUAUAAUUAAUGAACCAAUGUUGGUACAUUAUUAUUAACUAAAGUCCAUAUUUAAUUCAGAGUUCUUUAGUUUUUAUCUAAUGUCCUUUUUUUGUCUGUUUCAGGACCCCAUCCAGGAUCCCACAUUACAUUUAGUUUGCUCUGUUUUUUUCAUUAGUUCAACUGUGUGUGGGUGUGUGCAUGUGUGCGGGUGGGGGAGUAUGACUAUCUCUCUUCUUCUAUGUAGCCAGUUAAGGGCAAAAUCCUACAAAUUACUGUUCUCAGGUGCUCUAAUGUAAAACAAAAGGGUAUAUGUUAAUGAAGUAAUCUGGAGUUUUAAUUAUGAGAAAAACACUGUAGAUGAGAGGAAGCUUAGGUUAAAAAGAAUUUGACAUUUGGAGGGACCUAGAAUCAUGGUCUGUGACUUCAACAUGGAUUAACAGAAUCUAAAAAGCAAGGAAUGGGGUAGAGGAGCGUGACAGUUCAGAGUAAUAAAAGGCACUUCACAUAGAACUAUAGCAAUGCAGAAGAAAGAAGUAAUAUUGUGCAAUUUAUCAUCAUUUAAUUUAGGGGAGUCUGCAUUUUUAAAAUCCACAGAAAUGCAGUCACAGUUUCCUUGCCAAUAUUUGUAGAAAACAUUUUCCAAACAAGACUCAUUCAUCUUACUCUGAAAUGAAUUGUUAGAUCACAACAGAGAAUGUUAAAGACUUUGCAUCCCUUAUAGAAAUGCCAAACAUUUUACUCUGCCUGAUGCUGUACUAUAAAUAGGGAAAUCCGAGUGCUAAAAAUGUUCUUCAAGUUGCCAAACAUAGUUCUUUAGCAUCAACUUCCUCCUACAAAUGACUCAUUCUUCCAAAGUUUGAAAAUGAAAGCUAGUUACAAUUCAGAGAAAUGUUGUAGCGUACAUCGAUUAAAUGGCAAAGAUAUUUCAUUUAUGUAUAUUUAUUUUUCCUUAGAUCUUAUCCACUGAAAUUCUUCUUCAGAAUUUUAUUGAAGUUUUAUUAAAGAGUAGUUACUCUCAUGAGAAGUCGAGUUUUAAAUAAACAAUUAGAACAGCCAAGCAACAUGAAUAUUGUUGGAGAAUAAUGAUGGUUUAAAUCAUUUUGAAAUUCGUUAACUUCAUUUGGAUAUAAUAGAUGCAAAAUGUAUUUACUGUAAUAAAAAUAAGUUAAUAGUGAAGUCAUAACAUGAAAACUAAUAAGCUCACCAAACAAGAUGGUACAAAUAAUGCCUCAAUGUCCAAGAACACAAGGAAAUUAAACUCUAAGAAAUUUUACCUGAUUAAGAAAAACAGGACUCUUGGGAAGAAAGCAUCCUUUGUUAUAAAAAGAAUAAUAAAUAGGGAAAAUGCCAUUGAUUUAUGAUUAAUAUUUCAAAAUAGUACAUGUAUCUAUAUAUAUCUUGCAAUAAGUAAAGAGAACAUAAAUAGUAUAGGGAUUUGUAUAGCACAUUUGAGGUUAGUACUCAUUUGAAGAGGUAAUUGCUUUUUUUUUUUUUUUUGCGGUACGCGAGCCUCUCACUGUUGUG